This 433-nucleotide ribosomal RNA is filed under the name uncultured bacterium. Its description in RNAcentral is "partial 16S ribosomal RNA". It matches the Rfam family "Bacterial small subunit ribosomal RNA", at positions 29 to 507 of the family's 1533-position model. The record is from RNAcentral.
AACGAACGCUGGCGGCAUGCCUAACACAUGCAAGUCGAACGAAACCUUCGUGCCUAGUGGCGCUCGGGUGCGUACCGCGUGGUAACCUGCCCUUAGGUUCGGAAUAACUCACCGUAGGGGGACCUAAUACAGCUUAAUGUCAUCGGACCUAAGAUCUAUCGCCUUUGGAUGGGCCCGCGUUGGUUUAGCUGGUUGGUAGGGUACUAGCCUACCAAGGCGAGGAUCCUUGGCUGGUCGGAGAGGAGGAUCAGCCACACUGGGGCUGAGGCACGGCCCAGCCUCCGACGGGAGGGAGCAGUGGGGAAUACUGUGGGAUGGGCGAAAGUCUAGUCAAGCAAUGCGGGGUGAGAGAUGAAGGGCUUAGGGUUGUAAAGCUCUUUUACCCGGGAUGAGAAUGACGGUAACGGGAGAAUAAGCACCGGCUAACUACGUG